UACGUAUGGAGCAAGCGUUAUCCGGAUUUACUGGGUGUAAAGGGUGCGUAGGUGGCAGUGCAAGUCAGAUGUGAAAGGCCGGGGCUCAACCCCGGAGCUGCAUUUGAAACUGCUCGGCUAGAGUACAGGAGAGGCAGGCGGAAUUCCUAGUGUAGCGGUGAAAUGCGUAGAUAUUAGGAGGAACACCAGUGGCGAAGGCGGCCUGCUGGAGUGUUACUGACACUGAGGCACGAAAGCGUGGGGAGCAAACAGG
RNAcentral lists this ribosomal RNA (253 nucleotides) under Anaerobutyricum hallii. RNAcentral describes it as "partial 16S ribosomal RNA". It matches the Rfam family "Bacterial small subunit ribosomal RNA", at positions 524 to 776 of the family's 1533-position model. The record is from RNAcentral. Lineage: Bacteria; Bacillati; Bacillota; Clostridia; Lachnospirales; Lachnospiraceae.